GUGUCAGCCGCCGCGGUAAAACGUAGGAGGCAAGCGUUAUCCGGAUUUACUGGGCGUAAAGGGCGUGCAGGUGGUUUUCUAAGUGGUGCGUGAAAGCGCUCGGCUCAACCGGGCGAGGCCGUGCCAAACUGGGGGACUAGAAACAGGCAGAGGAAAGUGGAAUUCGGGGUGUAGUGGUGAAAUGCGUAGAGAUCCCGAGGAACUCCUGUGGCGAAGGCGACUUUCUGGGCCUGCUUUGACACUCAGACGCGAAAGCAUGGGGAGCGAACGGGAUUAGAAACCCGAGUAGUCC
Molecule: ribosomal RNA, 292 nt
Filed under: uncultured bacterium
Lineage: Bacteria
Description: partial 16S ribosomal RNA
Rfam family: Bacterial small subunit ribosomal RNA
Source: RNAcentral